UGAGUUUGUAGCUCAGUGGAUUAGAGCAUAUGUUUCCGACACAUAGUGUCGAGGGUUCAAUUCCCUCCAAACUCAA
This 76-nucleotide transfer RNA is filed under the name Tetraselmis marina. Its description in RNAcentral is "tRNA-Arg". It matches the Rfam family "tRNA". Rfam says of the family: Transfer RNA (tRNA) molecules are approximately 80 nucleotides in length. Their secondary structure includes four short double-helical elements and three loops (D, anti-codon, and T loops). Lineage: Eukaryota; Viridiplantae; Chlorophyta; Chlorodendrophyceae; Chlorodendrales; Chlorodendraceae. The record is from RNAcentral.